This 291-nucleotide long non-coding RNA is filed under the name Mus musculus (house mouse). RNAcentral's name for it is "long non-coding RNA chr2:29498211-29498502". Lineage: Eukaryota; Metazoa; Chordata; Mammalia; Rodentia; Muridae. The record is from RNAcentral.
GGACCAUCUGAAAGGUCAGCAUUGGUCAGCAUGCUCAGAGCGGGGAGGACAGACCUGAAGCUCAAGCUCAAGCUCAUUGGUGGUUUGCAUUUGCUGUCUGUGUGAUUAUUUGGGAGCUGUCCUUCCUGGUGCUGCUGUGUGUCCUGGAUGCAGAAAAAGAGGCCAGGGAAGUGGCCAUACUGCUCUGGGCACCCAGUGUGGGGCUGGUGCUGGGGGCAGGUGGAGUCGGCCUCUUCCACAUGCAGGUGCCAAAGGCUUAUGUUGGGCCCAGGCUGAAUUCCAUCAUGUCCU